CUACAAAGAGUGAGAAGAAAGUAAGAAUCAUCUUGGAAGGGCUAUGCGGCAAUGCUAACAGCAGCUACUGGAGAUCCGAAGACGACGUCGGCAUGGCUGCUGGCCUGGGAGGCGAGACAGAGUCCCACCCUUGCGUCUCCUUCACCAUAAACUUUGUCUGAGGAUGUUUCAUGUAUAUUAUUUUGUGACACCAAUUCAUUCAUCGUAUGUCGGUUUCGGUUCAUACUUCUGUAGUAGAUGAUCCACGCCGAUCAAUAAUGUAGUGUUUCGGAGAACCUUGAAUGUAUCCUGGCACAAACUGGGACUUCUCUUUUUUUGUUCUGCUACGUUGUUGCAACUGUUCACUUUUUGUGCAGUGUUGUAUUACUGGGUACAUUAUUGUAAUUUUGAGUAACAAGAAUCUAUAAUAAUAAAAUCAAGGUGAAUAAGCUGGGUAAUAUAAACA
Molecule: non-coding RNA, 445 nt
Organism: Aegilops tauschii subsp. strangulata
Lineage: Eukaryota; Viridiplantae; Streptophyta; Magnoliopsida; Poales; Poaceae
Source: RefSeq, a predicted model, not a curated record